Molecule: ribosomal RNA, 380 nt
Filed under: Nocardiopsaceae bacterium ACTS43
Lineage: Bacteria; Bacillati; Actinomycetota; Actinomycetes; Streptosporangiales; Nocardiopsidaceae
Description: bacterial SSU rRNA
Rfam family: Bacterial small subunit ribosomal RNA
Source: RNAcentral
CGGCGUGCUUAACACAUGCAAGUCGAGCGGUAAGGCCCCUUCGGGGGUACACGAGCGGCGAACGGGUGAGUAACACGUGAGUAACCUGCCCCUGACUCUGGGAUAAGCCCGGGAAACCGGGUCUAAUACCGGAUACGACUUCUCACCGCAUGGUGGGGGGUGGAAAGGUUUGUUCCGGUCGGGGAUGGGCUCGCGGCCUAUCAGCUUGUUGGUGGGGUGAUGGCCUACCAAGGCGAUGACGGGUAGCCGGCCUGAGAGGGCGACCGGCCACACUGGGACUGAGACACGGCCCAGACUCCUGCGGGAGGCAGCAGUGGGGAAUAUUGCGCAAUGGGCGGAAGCCUGACGCAGCGACGCCGCGUGGGGGAUGACGGCCUUCG